This 468-nucleotide ribosomal RNA is filed under the name uncultured bacterium. Its description in RNAcentral is "partial 16S ribosomal RNA". It matches the Rfam family "Bacterial small subunit ribosomal RNA", at positions 28 to 507 of the family's 1533-position model. The record is from RNAcentral.
GACGAACGCUGGCGGCGUGCUUAACACAUGCAAGUCGAACGGAAAGGCCCUGUUUGUGUUGGAUGCGCGGCGGGCGGACGGGUAAGACACACGUGAGUAGCCCGCCCUUGAGGUUGAAAGAACGGAAACUGACUGUAACUAUUACCGUGUACUCCCGCCUCCUGCAGGGGGUGGGAAGGCUCGUUCGGGCGGUGGGGGAUGCACUGCCGGCUUACCUGCUGGUUGGGGGGGGAGUGGCUUACGAAGGCGUUGACGGGUGGCCGGCCUGGGUGGGUGGCCGGCCACAUUGGGACUGGGAUACGGCCCAGACUCCUACGGGAGGCAGAAGUGGGGAUUAUUGCACAAGGGGGGGAAGCCGGAUGAAGCAACGCCGGGUGGGGGAUGACGGCCUUCGGGUGGUAAACCGCUUUCGCAGGGGCCGAAGUGUGAGUGACGGUAAUGGGUAAAGAAGCACCGGCUAACUACGUG